Long non-coding RNA from Triticum aestivum (bread wheat), 1293 nucleotides. RefSeq lists it as uncharacterized. The transcript is spliced from 4 exons. The record is from RefSeq and is a predicted model, not a curated record. Lineage: Eukaryota; Viridiplantae; Streptophyta; Magnoliopsida; Poales; Poaceae.
AUUACUAAACACUUGAUUUUUCUUCAUUUAGACAUUUCUUUUUGGUAGGCACACCUAUGUCAACAUAUUGUGCCCUCCUUAAAUUCAGUUACAAGUACUUAUGUGUGUGUGAUGUUGCCUUCUCUUAUGAUGUGCUCAUAGGCCAAAGUGAUUUCUCCUCUCUUUAUCUGUAAAACUAUAACCCAACAUUCUUGGCCGCCCACCCAUGUUUGACUUGGUCUAUAUGGCAGUGUGCAGAAAGCCUGAGCCCAAGAAAACUCCAUUGUGGCUCACUGAUUCUGCUGAUGAGUCGUAUAAAAAGAGUCAUGUGCUAUCUAUUUAUUAUUAUUAUUAUAAGUUCAUCGCUACCACUUUUACUUCUCUUUAUUGUUUUAUGUGCCUUUGUAUAAUAUGCUAUUAUAGGAUAUUUUCUUGUUCCAAUCAAAUCCAUAAUAUAGUUCAUCCUUACUAAAUAGUAGUGUCUACUUAACUAAUCUGUACUAAGAUCUGGUGGCUUUGGUAGUUUCAUCACUAUCUUGCACUUCUUAUAUAUAAGGCCUCUUUAGGAACUUCUAAAUUUUUAUUUUGUCAUUAGUGGUGUGGUGUGUCUGGUUAAAUUGGUAUUACUAAUAGCUUUCUUUCAGUUUUCUCUUCAAUUACAGCUUGUGGAAUUUGAGGAGAAUCUGUGCACCAGCAUCCGACUCCUUGAUGUUGCUCUGAUCAUAUUGUGUAAAUAUAUUUCUAAUAAAGCAAUCGCCCGAUGGUGUACAUGUUAGAAAUAACAAGAUGUAAUCAUCAAGUGUGAGAGAUGGCAACAUCAUGAUGGGAUGGUAUGUACUGUUGUGCUCAUCAAUAGGGGGAGCUCAAGGUCAUGGCGGGGCUUCGAUUUUUCUUGUAGAAAAGAGAGACAGAGGAGGAUCCAGGGAGGAGGAGAGGUAGGAGAAGAAGGACGGGGAAGUAGGAAGGGUGCAGUAGGGGUGAGUGUGCUUCCGCCUGCCACGCCCAAGGCUUGAUCUGCCGCCGCCUCUCCUCUACCCAUGCUGUCUGUGACACGUCAGAUCCCCAGCUGCCGGCACUUCUCCUCUGCCCAUGGGCCAUGGCUGUUCUGAUGCAUCAAAUCCACUGCAGAUCGAUCUGCUGUAACAUUGGCUGGGUGUUCUCUUCUCGACUCUACCAACACUCUGGAGUUACAAGCAAUUACAUCAGGAGCUCGGUCAAAAAUCACCUAAGAAAAAUAUGUCGUUCUUCUCUACAAGGGUUGCAUGUGGAAUUUGAGGAGAAUCUGUGCACCAGCAUCCGACUCCUUGAUGUUGC